UACGUAGGAGGCGAGCGUUGUCCGGAUUUAUUGGGUUUAAAGGGUGCGUAGGCGGUCUAUUAAGUCAGUGGUGAAAGCCCCAAGCUCAACUUGGGAACUGCCAUUGAUACUGAUGGACUUGAGUACAUUUGAGGUGGGCGGAAUGUGUCAUGUAGCGGUGAAAUGCUUAGAUAUGACACAGAACACCGAUUGCGAAGGCAGCUCACUAAACUGUAACUGACGCUGAGGCACGAAAGCGUGGGGAGCAAACAGG
Molecule: ribosomal RNA, 253 nt
Filed under: uncultured bacterium
Lineage: Bacteria
Description: partial 16S ribosomal RNA
Rfam family: Bacterial small subunit ribosomal RNA
Source: RNAcentral